UGGCCAGACUCCUACGGGAGGCAGCAGUGAGGAAUAUUGGUCAAUGGCCGAAGGGCUGAACCAGCCAAGCCGCGUGAAGGAAUAAGGCCCUACGGGUCGUAAACUUCUUUAGUCAGGGAACAAAGGGUGCCACGCGUGGCGCUGUGAGUGUACCUGAAGAAUAAGCAUCGGCUAACUCCGUGCCAGCAGCCGCGGUAAUACGGAGGAUGCGAGCGUUAUCCGGAUUUAUUGGGUUUAAAGGGUGCGUAGGCGGUUUGUCAAGUCAGCGGUAAAAGCCCGGGGCUCAACCCCAGCGAGCCGUUGAAACUGGCUGUCUUGAGAUGUCGAGAGGUAUGCGGAAUGCGCAGUGUAGCGGUGAAAUGCUUAGAUAUUGCGCAGAACUCCGAUUGCGAAGGCAGCAUACCGGCGGCGAUCUGACGCUGAGGCACGAAAGCGUGGGUAUCGAACAGGAUUAGAUACCCCAGUA
Molecule: ribosomal RNA, 466 nt
Filed under: uncultured bacterium
Lineage: Bacteria
Description: bacterial SSU rRNA
Rfam family: Bacterial small subunit ribosomal RNA
Source: RNAcentral